AGGUUGAUGCUGGCUCAAGAUGAACGCUGGUGGCGUGCCUAACGCUUGCCUGUCAAGCGAAGCAUUUUGAACGAAGUGUUCGGAUGGAAUUUAAAAUGACUGAACGGGGGACGGGUGUAUUAACGCUUGGGUAACCUGCCUCUUACCGGGGGAUAACGGUUACAAAUGACUGCUAAUACCGCAUAACCACACAGUACCGCAUGGAACAUUGUGAAAAACUCCCGUGGUCUGAGAUGGACCCGCGUCUGAUUAGCUAGUUGGCGGGGUAACGGCCCACCAAGGCCACAAUGCAUUAGCCGACCUGAGAGGGUGACCGGCCACAUUGGGACUGAGACACGGCCCAAACUCCUACCGGGAGGCAGCAGUGGGGAAUAUUGCACAAUGGGGGAAACCCUGAUGCAUCAACGCCGCGUGAGUGAAGAAGUAUUUCGGUGUGUAAAGCUCUAUCACCAGGGAAGAAAGUGACGGCACCUGACUAACAAGCCCCGGCUAACUACGUGCCAUCAGCCGCGGUAAUACGUACGGGGCAAGCGUUAUCCGGAUUUACUGGGCGUAAAGGGAGCGUAGACGGCACAGCAAGUCUGAAGUGAAAUCCCUGGGCUCAACCCGGGAACUGCUUUGGAAACUGUUGCUCUAGAGUGUUGGAGAGGCAAGCGGAAUUCCUAGUGUAGCGGUGAAAUGCGUAGAUAUUAGGAGGAACACCAGUGGCGAAGGCGGCUUGCUGGACAGUAACUGACGUUGAGGCUCGAAAGCGUGGGGAGCAAACAGGAUUAGAUACCCUGGUAGUCCACGCCGUAAACGAUGCAUACUAGGUGUUGGGGAGCAAAGCUUUCCGGCGACGCCGCAAACGCAGUAAAUAUCCGCACAUGGGGAGCCGCUUCGCAAGAAUGAAACUCAAAGGACAUGUACGGGAGACCCGCACAAGUGGUGCGAGCACGUGUGUUUAUAUUUGAAUGCCACGACGAAGAACGUUACCAAUUCGGACACUCUCCUCGAUGAGGGAGUAACGUUGCUUCUCGUUUUGGACAGGGGAGACAGAUGGCGCAUGGUUGUCGUCAGCUGGAGUCGGGAGAUGUGUGUCAAUGUCAAGCGCGAGACUGCACCCCUCAUUCUCAGUACCCGAAUCAGGUUAAGGUGGACACUUUGCUGUCGCCUAGCCAGGGAUUAGGAGGAGGGACGGAGUGUGUGAGGUGCAAAUCCUCAUGCACCUCUGAGUCAUGGGGUUCACACGUGUUACAAGGGAGUAAACAUAGGGAAGAGACCUUAUUAAGGUAAGCAAAUCCCAAAAAUAACGUCCCAGUUAGGAGUGUAGUAUGCAACUUGAAAACACGAAGUCGGAAUAGCUAGUAAUCGCAGAUCAGCAUGAGGCAGGUGAACAAGUUCCCGGCUUUAGUACACACCGCCCUUCA
RNAcentral lists this ribosomal RNA (1409 nucleotides) under uncultured bacterium. Its description in RNAcentral is "partial 16S ribosomal RNA". It matches the Rfam family "Bacterial small subunit ribosomal RNA". The record is from RNAcentral.